UAAUAAGUGUUUUAUGGCACUUUUUAAAUCCAUAUCCACCUUAUGUGCAAUGUCAGUCGAUCUUCUUCAUGGAGAUCGACCAAACAUCAACCUUUAUCUUUUAACUCUUUGUCUGAAAAAUAUUAUGAAUAAACAAUUCAAAAUA
This 145-nucleotide unclassified non-coding RNA is filed under the name soil metagenome. Its description in RNAcentral is "partial internal transcribed spacer 1". The record is from RNAcentral.